RNAcentral lists this unclassified non-coding RNA (383 nucleotides) under uncultured bacterium. Its description in RNAcentral is "contains 16S-23S intergenic spacer region". The record is from RNAcentral.
UCCGGUUUGGCACCGGCAGUCUCCAAUGAGUCCCCGGCAUUACCCGCUGGCAACAUUGGACAGGGGUUGCGCUCGUUGCGCCACUUAAGGCAACACCUCACGACACGAGCUGACGACAGCCAUGCAGCACCUGUCACCGGUCCAGCCUAACUGAAGGAAUCCAUCUCUGGAAACCGUGACCGGGAUGUCAAGGGCUGGUAAGGUUCUGCGCGUUGCUUCGAAUUAAACCACAUGCUCCACCGCUUGUGCGGGCCCCCGUCAAUUCCUUUGAGUUUCAACCUUGCGGUCGUACUCCCCAGGCGGGGUACUUCCUGCGUUAGCGCCGGCACCCAGAGGGUCGCUCCCCCAGGCACCUAGUACCCAUCGUUUACGGCGUGGACUAC